This 861-nucleotide ribosomal RNA is filed under the name Paraburkholderia diazotrophica. Its description in RNAcentral is "bacterial SSU rRNA". It matches the Rfam family "Bacterial small subunit ribosomal RNA", at positions 48 to 907 of the family's 1533-position model. The record is from RNAcentral. Lineage: Bacteria; Pseudomonadati; Pseudomonadota; Betaproteobacteria; Burkholderiales; Burkholderiaceae.
CUUACCAUGCAGUCGAACGGCAGCGCGGGGGUAACCCUGGCGGCGAGUGGCGAACGGGUGAGUAAUACAUCGGAACGUGUCCUGGAGUGGGGGAUAGCCCGGCGAAAGCCGGAUUAAUACCGCAUACGAUCCACGGAUGAAAGCGGGGGACCGAAAGGCCUCGCGCUCAAGGAGCGGCCGAUGGCGGAUUAGCUAGUUGGUGGGGUAAAGGCCCACCAAGGCGACGAUCCGUAGCUGGUCUGAGAGGACGACCAGCCACACUGGGACUGAGACACGGCCCAGACUCCUACGGGAGGCAGCAGUGGGGAAUUUUGGACAAUGGGCGAAAGCCUGAUCCAGCAAUGCCGCGUGUGUGAAGAAGGCCUUCGGGUUGUAAAGCACUUUUGUCCGGAAAGAAAACUUCGCCUCUAAUACAGGUGGAGGAUGACGGUACCGGAAGAAUAAGCACCGGCUAACUACGUGCCAGCAGCCGCGGUAAUACGUAGGGUGCAAGCGUUAAUCGGAAUUACUGGGCGUAAAGCGUGCGCAGGCGGUGAUGUAAGACCGAUGUGAAAUCCCCGGGCUUAACCUGGGAACUGCAUUGGUGACUGCAUUGCUAGAGUAUGGCAGAGGGGGGUGGAAUUCCACGUGUAGCAGUGAAAUGCGUAGAGAUGUGGAGGAACACCGAUGGCGAAGGCAGCCCCCUGGGCCAAUACUGACGCUCAUGCACGAAAGCGUGGGGAGCAAACAGGAUUAGAUACCCUGGUAGUCCACGCCCUAAACGAUGUCAACUGGUUGUUGGGGAUUCAUUUCCUUAGUAACGAAGCUAACGCGUGAAGUUGACCGCCUGGGGAGUACGGUCGCAAGAUUAAAACUCAGAAA